CGGUUUUUUUUUUUCGUUUUGUUUUUUUUUCAAAACACGUGGGCUUCGCCUAGCGAGCAUGACAACUCAUGAACAAACCUUUGCUCCUUCAAGAUUAACGUUUUGACUGACGAAUAGACCCCUGUUGGAAGUAACUCAAGUCUUUCCCUUGUGUUGACUGAUCAUCUAAAUAGAGCCCACAAAGUGUCCUGGAUAAUGUUCAAACUUCUUGGAUUCAAUUCCGAUUGCCAUGAUGAAAUGC
This 241-nucleotide long non-coding RNA is filed under the name Lathyrus oleraceus (garden pea). RNAcentral's name for it is "Pisum sativum (pea) long non-coding RNA (PSAT_LNC023530)". The record is from RNAcentral. Lineage: Eukaryota; Viridiplantae; Streptophyta; Magnoliopsida; Fabales; Fabaceae.